GCCCUUGCUCAGUAACACGUGGAUAACUUACCCUUAGGACUGGGAUAACUCUGGGAAACUGGGGAUAAUACCGGAUAUUAUGCUAUGUCUGCAAUGGUUUGCCUUUGAAAUGUUUUUUUUCGCCUAAGGAUAGAUCUGCAGCUGAUUAGGUCGUUGGUGGGGUAAUGGCCCACCAAGCCGAUGAUCGGUACGGAUUGUGAGAGCAAGGGCCCGGAGAUGGAACCUGAGACAAGGUUCCAGACCCUACGGGGUGCAGCAGGCGCGAAACCUCCUCAAUGUACGAAAGUGCGACGGGGGGAUCCCAAGUGUUAUGCUUAAAGGUAUGACUUUUCAUUAGUGUAAAAAGCUUUUAGAAUAAGAGCUGGGCAAGACCGGUGCCAGCCGCCGCGGUAACACCGGCAGCUCGAGUGGUAGCUGUUUUUAUUGGGCCUAAAGCGUUCGUAGCCGGUUUAAUAAGUCUUUGGUGAAAGCUUGUAGCUUAACUAUAAGAAUUGCUGGAGAUACUAUUGGACUUGAAGUCGGGAGAGGUUAGAGGUACUACCGGGGUAGGGGUGAAAUCCUAUAAUCCUGGGAGGACCACCUGUGGCGAACGCGUCUAACUGGAACGAUCUUGACGGUGAGUAACGAAAGCCAGGGGCGCGAACCGGAUUAGAUACCCGGGUAGUCCUGGCCGUACAUCGAUGUGGACUUGGUGUUGGAAUGGCUUUGAGUUGUUCCGGUGCCGAAGGGAAGCUGUUAAGUCCACCGCCUGGGAAGUACGGUCGCAAGAUUGAAACUUAAAGGAAUUGGCGGGGGAGCACAAGGGC
Molecule: ribosomal RNA, 806 nt
Filed under: uncultured Methanobacteriaceae archaeon
Lineage: Archaea; Methanobacteriati; Methanobacteriota; Methanobacteria; Methanobacteriales; Methanobacteriaceae
Description: bacterial SSU rRNA
Rfam family: Archaeal small subunit ribosomal RNA
Source: RNAcentral